RNAcentral lists this ribosomal RNA (275 nucleotides) under uncultured Staphylococcus sp. RNAcentral describes it as "partial 16S ribosomal RNA". It matches the Rfam family "Bacterial small subunit ribosomal RNA", at positions 505 to 778 of the family's 1533-position model. Lineage: Bacteria; Bacillati; Bacillota; Bacilli; Caryophanales; Staphylococcaceae. The record is from RNAcentral.
GUGCCAGCAGCCGCGGUAAUACGUAGGUGGCAAGCGUUAUCCGGAAUUAUUGGGCGUAAAGCGCGCGUAGGCGGUUUUUUAAGUCUGAUGUGAAAGCCCACGGCUCAACCGUGGAGGGUCAUUGGAAACUGGAAAACUUGAGUGCAGAAGAGGAAAGUGGAAUUCCAUGUGUAGCGGUGAAAUGCGCAGAGAUAUGGAGGAACACCAGUGGCGAAGGCGACUUUCNUGGUCUGUAACUGACGCUGAUGUGCGAAAGCGUGGGGAUCAAACAGGAU